RNAcentral lists this long non-coding RNA (1213 nucleotides) under Setaria viridis. RNAcentral's name for it is "long non-coding RNA (SVIR_LNC006298)". The record is from RNAcentral. Lineage: Eukaryota; Viridiplantae; Streptophyta; Magnoliopsida; Poales; Poaceae.
CGCCGCCCACGCCGGCCAUGUUCCGAUCAUGCCCGCCGCCGCCGUCGAGAGCCCCUGCGCAGCCCAUCUUAUGAACCAAAACACCACCAGGGGGUGCGCGUGGCCCUAGGGAGCGUUGCGGCCCAGUCCCCACCGCCGGAGACCUCGCCGCCGGCGAGCUAGCGCCGUUACCCGCCGGGAAAGCCGCAGUCAAGGUCGGCCUUCUGUUUUUGACCUAGCGGGCCCGCGUGUCCGAGUCUGUGGGUAGGGCGUGGGUGAGUGAGAAAGUUUUUCAGGGGGGGUGGGGAUAAUGAUAGGUUUUCAGUUUGGAGAUAAUAGUUUAAAUUCGUGAUUUCACUAUUUAAUUCACCAGAAAUUGUAGAAAUGUCAAAAAAAAUAGUGAAACCAAUUUUAUUAGGAUUGUUUUAUUGUGAAACUAAUUUUAUUAGGAUUGUUUUAUUUUCCUUUAUGCAUUAAAAAAUUCUUAAACCCUAGGAAAUAUAAUAAAAUUUAGGUAUUUAUUUAAUGCCUUUUUACUAAGGUAUUUAAAUAAAUGCUUAACCUUUAUUAAAUGCAUAAAAUUUUGAAUAAUGUUUUCAUAAUCACAAAUUAUUAUUAAUCCAUAGGAAUUAAGUUUUGAUAUUAGAAAAUUAUUAUAAUACUUUUCUAAAAUAAAAGAAAGGCUUAGAUAGAUUAGUAAGGAAAUUAAAAUUGUGGGUUAAUCUUUAUGGGUAGUUUAGUGUUGGCUUGCAACUUUAUCAUGAAGAUAGGUUGUAUAGUUGUUGGCUUGCAACUUUAUCAUGAAGGAAAGUUGUAUAGUCAUGUGUUCAAAAGUUUGCAUCUCUAACUCCUGCAUGUACUAAAUCAUAGACGUCGAAGCUCCUGAAGUGGAAUUCGUGGAAUUCAUCUGAAGAUUGUCAGAGUUCGAGAAGUGUUGAAGUGCUUCUUUUACUAAAGGGGUUUUCCGAAGGACUAACAUUUGUUGAUCCCAGGCAAGCUCCGGUGCAUUUAAACCCAUCUACUUUCGGAAAUUACUAUUCAUGAGUCCAAUUAAUGGUUAUUUCUUUAUAUGUGCAUUAGGUCUAGGAGUUGAUUGAAAACUUACUUUUAUGCACAAUCCAACCUUGUUAUUAAGGACAUCUUUGCCACCUGUUCAACUAAUUAGUAACUAUCCUAUGCUUAGCAAUGCUUAGAUACCUAUGAGUAACUUUGGUUACUCAACACUAAGGCUAAG